CUUGAAAUUUUUGGAAAGAGAUUCAACUAUGAAGCUACCAAGGUUCCAACAAAACCCUACACCUCCUUUCAAAACAGUAGUCGAAGCUAGAGCCCACCAAAACAUCAAUAAAGACUGGGGUGGUUGAGACGUAGAUUGAGGUGUCCACGUACUCCUAUCUUUUGGGUAGGUACUUUCACAUUCAGUAGUCAUAUCUCCCAUUCAAAGUCACUCUGCUGACGGUUAAGGUCUAACCAUGUGUAUAUGAAUACUUGGUGUGAAAUAUUAAGAAUCAUUUGUCACUCUAUCUAUAAAUAUAUAGGUGGAUGAUGCCAUUAUGAAUGUAUGAUUGAGUUUUAUGAAUUGUUUU
This is a non-coding RNA of Theobroma cacao (cacao), 349 nucleotides long. NCBI's taxonomy places the organism in Eukaryota, Viridiplantae, Streptophyta, Magnoliopsida, Malvales, Malvaceae. The record is from RefSeq and is a predicted model, not a curated record.